GGGGGGAAGAGAGAGAAGAACAAUAGAGCUGAGGCGGGGACCAGAGAAAGGAAAUGGAUGUGCAGCAGGGAAAGAGUGGAAGCCAGCAGAAGGAGGAAGAUAGUGUGGCCUCUGGAGGAAGGAGCACCGACGCAAUUAACAAGGAAGGAUGGUAGAAUUUGAACAUGCAGCAGUAUCCAGCUUUUCAGCAACAUCUAACGGCUUCUCAGACCAACUGCAACAGGCCUGAGGGACCCUGUGAAACACAGUCAGCAGCUUCUGCAGUGCAGAGGCAUUGGCUACCAUAAUAGAGAACCCCUACAGCCCAGAAUACAAACCAAUGGUAGCCAAGGAUUCUGUGGUAUAGCAGUCUUUCAGCAGCUCACUUAAUGGGGGCUCAACAUCACCAACGUCUAACAACUGGUUAAUGUUGAUUGUUGUACUAAAAUGUAUGUUUUGGGUGGUGGGUUUUUAAAGGCGGAGGGAGGCACACCAGAGGAAAGAGCAUUAAAACUAUAAAGAAUUGGUUGUAGGAGACUUUUGGAAAAGGCAGAAGGGGUAUCAACACAAGAUGAGUAGGGAUGAAAGUAAAAUUUAGGAACAGCAGCAGGCGAUAUGUUUACAUGUGCAAUUUCACCUUUGCAUGGACAUUUAGUCUCCAAACUGGAAAGAUACUGAAUUAUAUACACCAAAGUCCGGCUAGAAACGUUGCCCAAAUCCAUAGACAAUUAGACAAUAACAAACAUGCUAAUAUCGGUCACAACAAUAUUGAUACAGUAUAUAUCAAUAUUGUUACGCUGUUACACCAGACAAAAGACUAUUUUCUUGGCAGUGUUUGAGUAUGGAAUAAUCAAUUCUACCAAGAAAAUCAUUCUACCAGCAAUACAGAUGAAUUUCUGGUAGAAUGGAGGACUUUUUAUCAGACCCCCUCCCCCAGCCAUUUCAAACUUAGUCUGUUCCCCUUUGGGUUUGAUUAAAAGAAAAAACUGGGUAAAGUUAGAAUGAUUCAACACCUGGCAUAUAAAUAAGUAAAUGAUGCUCAGGAUGAAGAAUAAUGUUCAGUGUCUUUUUAGAUUUUAAAUAUUCAGACAAACAGACCCAGGGGCAUUAAAGGCAAAAGCAGACAUAGAAUCUUAAUUCAAUUUGUUGCUAUUACACAUACAUAGCUUUUAUCUUAAUGGUUGUAAAAUAUAAGGCCCAUGGGUUGGGCAAUACUAUGCUCCUAAUUUGAGACUUUCAAUUCCUUUAUUUGUGGUGCCUGGAAGAUAGAGCUGGAGGGAGGGAAAUGCUUGAGGAACUCCUUAGAGGACAUGAAAAAACAAUUGGGUCCUGAGAAGUAACAUUAAAGCCCAGGCCAACCAUGCAGGAGAAGUUUAUCAAAACACUUAUUACUGUGAAAUAUGUAUUAAAAGCAAAUAGGGUCGCACUAUGAGACAUGCAGUCUCUUGAACUUAAGGUACUGCAAUAAAAUACAUUUUUUUAUCAAAUAUUAACUACAGUAUCUGGAAGGACAGGGCCAAGCCAAGAACUGAAGUUGUUCACAGAUGCAUCAGGUAACUAUGGAUUUAGGACACGUUUACAAGGUAACUGGUUUGCUCAUGUUUGGCCAUGUUAAUGGGUAAUGGUAGGUCUAACAAAGAAUUUAACACCAUUAGACCUUUUUCAGGUUCUUGUAGGCAUAGAACUUUAGGGCAAUUUGAUGGAAAACAGGAACGUCUUGUUUUGGUUUCAGGAUGUGAGUGUGGUGCGGCCUAAGAAUAACCAGAGGCAUCACCGCAUAUGAUCACUUUAAUUAAGCAAGUUCUUCCUGUGCCAGAAACUUCCAAUAUUGUCACAGACAUAAUAUCCACAGGGAAAUUGAAUAUUUUUUUUUAUAAUUGAGCACCAACAGCAGCAUUUGAAACAUCACAAUGGCAGCCAAGUUUAUGGCCAUUAUAUCCCCUCAACAACAAAACAAAUAUUUAAUUUAGAAAAUGGUAUCCUUUUAACACCAUUUCAGUUUAAGUACGUACGACCCAGGCAAGAAAUAUCACAUGGCUGUCUAUAUAUAUAUAUAUAUAUAUAUAGACAGCCAUGUACAGGGCUAGGGCUGGAACAUCCACAAAUCAGUAACAAUAAGAUGGAAAUCCAAUGCUUAUAAAGCGUAAUAACCAUUAGCAUAUGUAAAUGUAAAAUUUAAUCCAAGGCCUUUAUUGGAGCGAGGGAGUUUAUCUUUCUGAUGCUGUCAAUAACUUCGUUAUAAUGAUAAUUUAAUGAAUUUCAUUAUAAUAAUGAGUUGUUUUACACAUAUGGGAAAAUGUAAAAGAGAAAACUGAAAAAUGGUUUUAAAGGUUUAUGGCCCAACCUGCCUGACACUACUUUGUUUGAAGGUCAGCAGGAAAACCAGAUGAGCAAGAAUCGGAGCAAGAAUUUGUCCCCUAGAGAUUCCCUUCACCCCUGGUGGGGGUCUAGGCAGGUGAAGCUUAUUGUUAUAACAGGAAGAUGGUGUCCUCCCUUGUGCCAAAAGAUUGACCUGUCCAGAACACUCGGGGGGAAUUUUGGUUUUGUAGUCUGCCCCCACAAAAUUACUUAAAUUAUGUAAAUUCAAAUGAUGUAAUAAAGCUGUAACCCCACUAUUUUUUUUUA
Long non-coding RNA from Xenopus laevis (African clawed frog), 2604 nucleotides. RefSeq lists it as uncharacterized. Lineage: Eukaryota; Metazoa; Chordata; Amphibia; Anura; Pipidae. The record is from RefSeq and is a predicted model, not a curated record. The transcript is spliced from 3 exons.